AGCGAACGCUGGCGGCAGGCCUAACACAUGCAAGUCGAACGAACCUUUCGGGGUUAGUGGCGGACGGGUGAGUAACACGUGGGAACGUGCCUUUAGGUUCGGAAUAACUCAGGGAAACUUGUGCUAAUACCGAAUGUGCCCUUCGGGGGAAAGAUUAAUCGCCUUUAGAGCGGCCCGUGUCUGAUUAGCUAGUUGGUUGAGGUAAUGGCUCACCCAGGCGACGAUCAGUAGCUGGUCUGAGAGGAUGAUCAGCCACAUUGGGACUGAGACACGGCCCAAACUCCUACGGGAGGCAGCAGUGGGGAAUCUUGCGCAAUGGGCGAAAGCCUGACGCAGCCAUGCCGCGUGAAUGAUGAAGGUCUUAGGAUUGUAAAAUUCUUUCACCGGGGACGAUAAUGACGGUACCCGGAGAAGAAGCCCCGGCUAACUUCGUG
This 434-nucleotide ribosomal RNA is filed under the name uncultured bacterium. RNAcentral describes it as "partial 16S ribosomal RNA". It matches the Rfam family "Bacterial small subunit ribosomal RNA", at positions 29 to 507 of the family's 1533-position model. The record is from RNAcentral.